Molecule: ribosomal RNA, 363 nt
Filed under: Triticum aestivum (bread wheat)
Lineage: Eukaryota; Viridiplantae; Streptophyta; Magnoliopsida; Poales; Poaceae
Description: partial small subunit ribosomal RNA
Source: RNAcentral
AUGCUGCCAAACGUUCCUCUAACUGACUCUUCUCUUUCUGAAUAUCAGCAAUGGUGUUCUCCAUUUCUCUCGUACAAUGUUGCAAACCAUCGAUCUCUUGUUCUUUCAGCUGAACUGUACGCUCAAGCUCACUGGUCUUCGUUUCGAGGACCUCGUUGGAAGAAACAUGGGAAUCUACACUGCUGCAAUGGUGUUCUCCAUUUCUCUUGCACAGUGUUGCAAACCAUCGAUCUCUUGUUCUUUCAGCUGAACUGUACGCUCAAGCUCACUGAUCUUUGUUUCGAGGACCUCAUUGGAAGAAACAUGGGAAUCUACACUGCUGGUAAGCACGAGAUCUUCAUGCGCUUCAACCAAGCAUUUUGA